RNAcentral lists this ribosomal RNA (774 nucleotides) under uncultured Neocallimastigales. RNAcentral describes it as "partial large subunit ribosomal RNA". It matches the Rfam family "Eukaryotic large subunit ribosomal RNA", at positions 24 to 645 of the family's 3401-position model. The record is from RNAcentral. Lineage: Eukaryota; Fungi; Neocallimastigomycota; Neocallimastigomycetes; Neocallimastigales.
UAUCUCUGUAGAGUCUGCAUAUCAAUAAGCGGAGGAAAAGAAACUAACAAGGAUUCCCCUAGUAACGGCGAGUGAAGCGGGAAGAGCUCAAAUUUGAAAUCUUCAAGGUUUGACCUUGACGAAUUGUAGUUUAAAGAAGUGUUUUCUGUUGGAGUUUCGGUAAAAGUUCUUUGGAAUAGGACAUCAUAGAGGGUGAGAAUCCCGUAUUUGACCGUUACUUUCCAGCUGUGUGAUACACUUUCAAAGAGUCGGAUUGUUUGGGAAUGCAGUCCAAGAUGGGUGGUAAAUUUCAUCUAAAGCUAAAUAUUGGCGAGAGACCGAUAGCGAACAAGUACCGUGAGGGAAAGAUGAAAAGAACUUUGAAAAGAGAGUUAAACAGUACGUGAAAUUGUCAAAAGGGAAGCGUUUGACACCAGUGUUGUUUUUCCGAAAAUCAAUUAAAAAUUGAUUCAUGCCAGGUUGUAUUGACCUUAUCAGCUUGCAAUUUGGUUUUGGGUCUCUUUUUGAUGCACUUUUCGGUUAACAAGUCAACAUCAAUUUCCUUUGCUGUAAAAAGGUAAGAGGAAGGUGGCUUCAAUUUCGGUUGAAGUGUUUAUAGCCUUUUAUCUCUGCAGUCGGGGAGAUUGAGGUCUGCAGCGUAGAUCCUUCGGGGCUAGAUACAUUUAUGCUAAGUUAUAGCUUUUCAUAGACAACUUGUUGACUAUGUUUAGUCAUGUAGCUUACUCGUAAGUGCUAUUUUACCUACGCUUAGGAUGUUGAGCGCAUGUCUCUCUC